Molecule: non-coding RNA, 50 nt
Organism: Bos taurus (domestic cattle)
Lineage: Eukaryota; Metazoa; Chordata; Mammalia; Artiodactyla; Bovidae
Source: Rfam
UUUCAGGCUUUUCUUCAUAAAAGCCACUAAUUUUUAGAACAGAAUAUUUU